AAGGGAACCAGUCUCCUCCAACGGUGCCCAUGGUGACCGCUCCAGGACAAACACACUGUCAGCUGACCCACAUCCUAGAUCCUUGACAACUGAGAAAAACUAAAGCAGAACAGAGACAAGCCAGGAUGGAAAAGGAUUGAUCGGGCUGUCGUCCAAUGGGAAAGACAAGCACAAUGACUAAGAAUAAGCCCAAGCAGAUUGCUGACAAGUAAAAACGAUGCCAUGUAGACGAAGCUGUUAAUAGGACUUAAGAAAGAGCAAGAAUGGAGAAAGGGAAGAACAGAGAGAAGAGAAAGAAAAAGAGGCAAUGUGAGGAAGAGAGAGGGGGAAAAGGGAAGCAAAGGAAGGGGGAGAGAAUGAGAGACAGACAGAUAUACGCACUCUCCCCUUUAUGAUU
Molecule: long non-coding RNA, 397 nt
Filed under: Homo sapiens (human)
Lineage: Eukaryota; Metazoa; Chordata; Mammalia; Primates; Hominidae
Description: HSALNT0059745
Source: RNAcentral